UGGAUCCAGACUUUGAUCCUGGCUCAGGAUGAACGCUAGCUACAGGCUUAACACAUGCAAGUCGAGGGGAAACGAUAGAGAAAGCUUGCUUUUUCUAGGCGUCGACCGGCGCACGGGUGAGUAACGCGUAUCCAACCUGCCCAUCACUUGGGGAUAACCUUGCGAAAGUAAGACUAAUACCCAAUGAUAUCCGUCGAAGACAUCUGAAGUGGAUUAAAGAUUCAUCGGUGAUGGAUGGGGAUGCGUCUGAUUAGCUUGUUGGCGGGGUAACGGCCCACCAAGGCAACGAUCAGUAGGGGUUCUGAGAGGAAGGUCCCCCACAUUGGAACUGAGACACGGUCCAAACUCCUACGGGAGGCAGCGGUGAGGAAUAUUGGUCAAUGGACGAGAGUCUGAACCAGCCAAGUAGCGUGCAGGAUGACGGCCCUAUGGGUUGUAAACUGCUUUUAUAAGGGAAUAAAGUGGGAGUCGUGACUCCUUUUGCAUGUACCUUAUGAAUAAGGACCGGCUAAUUCCGUGCCAGCAGCCGCGGUAAUACGGAAGGUCCGGGCGUUAUCCGGAUUUAUUGGGUUUAAAGGGAGCGUAGGCCGGAGAUUAAGCGUGUUGUGAAAUGUAGAUGCUCAACAUCUGCACUGCAGCGCGAACUGGUUUCCUUGAGUACGCACAAAGUGGGCGGAAUUCGUGGUGUAGCGGUGAAAUGCUUAGAUAUCACGAAGAACUCCGAUUGCGAAGGCAGCUCACUGGAGCGCAACUGACGCUGAAGCUCGAAAGUGCGGGUAUCGAACAGGAUUAGAUACCCUGGUAGUCCGCACGGUAAACGAUGGAUGCCCGCUGUUGGUCUGAAUAGGUCAGCGGCCAAGCGAAAGCAUUAAGCAUCCCACCUGGGGAGUACGCCGGCAACGGUGCAACUCAAAGGAAUUGACGGA
This 926-nucleotide ribosomal RNA is filed under the name uncultured organism. Its description in RNAcentral is "bacterial SSU rRNA". It matches the Rfam family "Bacterial small subunit ribosomal RNA", at positions 1 to 917 of the family's 1533-position model. The record is from RNAcentral.